This 585-nucleotide ribosomal RNA is filed under the name uncultured organism. RNAcentral's name for it is "bacterial SSU rRNA". It matches the Rfam family "Bacterial small subunit ribosomal RNA", at positions 761 to 1344 of the family's 1533-position model. The record is from RNAcentral.
GUGGUUAGCAAACAGGAUUAGAUACUCUGGUAGUCCACGCUGUUUACGAUGAAUACUAGAUGUUGGGGGAGCCUUUUCCUUCAGCGUCGUAGCUAACGCAUUAAGUAUUCCGCCUGGGGAGUACGGUCGCAAGACUAAUACUCAAAGGAAUUGACGGGAGCCCGCACAAGCGGUGGAUUAUGUGGUCUAAUUCGAAGCAACGCGAAGAACCUUACCUGGGCUUGAAAUCCCACGAACUCUUUUUAAACGAAGAGGUGCCCGUCAGGGAAUGUGGAGACAGGUGCUGCAUGGCUGUCGUCAGCUCGUGUCGCGAGAUGUUGGGUUAAGUCUCGCAACGAGCGCAACCCCUAUCUUUAGUUGCCAGCANUAAGUUGGCAACUCUAGAGAGACUGCAUGGGUGAACCAGGAGCAAGGUGGGGAUGACGUCAAGUCCUCAUGGCCACUAUGUCCAGGGCUGCACACGUAAUACAAUGGCAAAUACAAAGCGAAGCGAACAUGCGAGCGGGAGCUAAUCUCAAAAGUUGNNCCUCAGUUCGGAUUGGAGUCUGCAACUCGACUCCAUGAGCUCGGAUUCGCUAGUAUUCG